UAACCCCAGCAUAUCAUGCAGGCAGGACAGU
Molecule: non-coding RNA, 31 nt
Filed under: Rattus norvegicus (Norway rat)
Lineage: Eukaryota; Metazoa; Chordata; Mammalia; Rodentia; Muridae
Source: RNAcentral